RNAcentral lists this transfer RNA (73 nucleotides) under Podarcis lilfordi (Lilford's wall lizard). It matches the Rfam family "tRNA". From Rfam's summary of the family: Transfer RNA (tRNA) molecules are approximately 80 nucleotides in length. Their secondary structure includes four short double-helical elements and three loops (D, anti-codon, and T loops). Further hydrogen bonds mediate the characteristic L-shaped molecular structure. tRNAs have two regions of fundamental functional importance: the anti-codon, which is responsible for specific mRNA codon recognition, and the 3' end, to which the tRNAs corresponding amino acid is attached (by aminoacyl-tRNA synthetases). tRNAs cope with the degeneracy of the genetic code in two manners: having more than one tRNA (with a specific anti-codon) for a particular amino acid; and 'wobble' base-pairing, i.e. permitting non-standard base-pairing at the 3rd anti-codon position. The record is from Rfam by way of RNAcentral. Lineage: Eukaryota; Metazoa; Chordata; Lepidosauria; Squamata; Lacertidae.
ACCCACAUAGUUCAGUCGGUGGAGCAUGAGACUCUUAAUCUCAGGGUUGUGGGUUCAAGCCCUGUGUUGGGCA